CCUACGGGGGGCUGCAGUGGGGAAUAUUGGACAAUGGGCGAAAGCCUGAUCCAGCCAUGCCGCGUGUGUGAAGAAGGCCUUCGGGUUGUAAAGCACUUUCAGUGGGGAAGAAAGCCUUGGGGCUAAUACCCUCGAGGAAGGACAUCACCCACAGAAGAAGCACCGGCUAACUCCGUGCCAGCAGCCGCGGUAAUACGGAGGGUGCGAGCGUUAAUCGGAAUUACUGGGCGUAAAGCGCGCGUAGGCGGUCUGAUAAGCCGGUUGUGAAAGCCCCGGGCUCAACCUGGGAACGGCAUCCGGAACUGUCGGGCUAGAGUGCAGGAGAGGAAGGUAGAAUUCCCGGUGUAGCGGUGAAAUGCGUAGAGAUCGGGAGGAAUACCAGUGGCGAAGGCGGUCUUCUGGACUGACACUGACGCUGAGGUGCGAAAGCGUGGGUAGCAAACAGGAUUAGAUACCCGGGUAGUC
This 465-nucleotide ribosomal RNA is filed under the name Vreelandella stevensii. Its description in RNAcentral is "partial 16S ribosomal RNA". It matches the Rfam family "Bacterial small subunit ribosomal RNA", at positions 338 to 795 of the family's 1533-position model. The record is from RNAcentral. Lineage: Bacteria; Pseudomonadati; Pseudomonadota; Gammaproteobacteria; Oceanospirillales; Halomonadaceae.